GUCGAUGUUAGGAGGUCAUUUAUUGACAAGGGAGAAGGUGACUCCUCGGCGAGACGGCUAGCUUGUCAAAUCGUACAAAAAUAACCAACAGAGGGCUGGUUGCGGGGAAAUUAGCAACCAUGGCUUCUUUUGGAAGGGCGUUGGGAGUCCUUCGCACAGGAUCUCAGCUCCUGAGACGUGGUACACAGAGGAUAACGAUCAGAAAUUGUAGCGGCACACCGGCUAUAGUGCCACGGUACAGGCAGUUCCCCAUAAUAUCGAAGAGACAUGUUUUGACCUCCGAGCUGCUUAGCGGUACCAUGUGGUUCUGGAUCCUCUGGCACAGUUGGCACGACCCUGAUGCAGUCAUGGGUCACUUCCCCUGGCCUGAUGCCUCUGAAUGGACAGAUGAGGAGCUUGGAAUCCCACCAGAUGACGAAGAAUAAGAUCAUUUCUUCCGUUUCAUUUGCUUAAAAAGGACAAAGGUCACAAUGAGGAAUUCUAGCUGCGGGGCAAGUCUAAAUCUUCUGGAUAUCCCAAAAGUCAGUUCUGUAAAUAAACUAAUAAAAAGAUCUUUAAAAAUAUAAAAGAAAAAGAAAAAACAGCAAACACAAAAGGC
RNA transcript from Notothenia coriiceps (black rockcod), 598 nucleotides. It is a transcript of the gene named NADH:ubiquinone oxidoreductase subunit B2, with no coding region annotated. The record is from RefSeq and is a predicted model, not a curated record. Lineage: Eukaryota; Metazoa; Chordata; Actinopteri; Perciformes; Nototheniidae. The transcript has 6 exons.